GGUAGCGUGGCCGAACGGUCUAAGGCGCUGGUUUUAAGGUACCAGUCUCUUCGGAGGCGUGGGUUCUAUUCCCACCGCUGCCA
RNAcentral lists this transfer RNA (83 nucleotides) under Blattella germanica (German cockroach). RNAcentral's name for it is "tRNA-Leu (TAA) (tRNA-Leu-TAA-31-1)". It matches the Rfam family "tRNA". From Rfam's summary of the family: Transfer RNA (tRNA) molecules are approximately 80 nucleotides in length. Their secondary structure includes four short double-helical elements and three loops (D, anti-codon, and T loops). The record is from RNAcentral. Lineage: Eukaryota; Metazoa; Arthropoda; Insecta; Blattodea; Blattellidae.